AUUCAUAACUGUCAGAAAGUUAUUGUCAGAACAAUAAUUGCUAAGGUUUAUUAAAUACUUAUCACAUAUUAGGCACCAUUUGCAGUGAUAUACAUGUGAUAACUCAUUUAACCCUCAGAAUACCACUAUGAAGUAGAUAGGAUUAUAAUUAAAAUGAGGAAAGAGAGGCACAGAGAUGCUAAGAAACUUUCUCAAAGGCCCCCCCAGGGUCCUAUCCCAGACAGACAGACUACAUGGUGCUGAGUCAAUCGGACCUAUUCAUAGGGAAAUAAAUAAUGCUGAUCCCUACCUCGCAUCACAUACAAAAAUCAAUUCCAGGUAGAAUGUGCAUUCUAAAGGUGAAAGGUAAACAAUAAAGCUUUUAGAAGGAAAUAUAGAAGGAUAUCUUCAUUACUCUGGGGUAGGCAAAGGUCACUAAAACAGGACAGUACAAAGCACUAACCUUGAAGGAAAAAACUUAUUUAAACUACAUUAAAAUUUUAUUGAUCAAAGAUACCAUGAAGAAAAUGAAACGACAAGCCACAGAGUAACAGGAGGUAUUUGCAAUCUUUAUGUCCGAUAAGGAACUCAUAUCCUGACUUUAUACUUAUAUAAAAUAUGUAUAGGUAGAUAGAGAUAUUCCUACAAAUCAAUAAGAAAAAGGCAGACAGCCUAAUAGAGAAAUGGGCAAAAGACUUGAAUAGGCAUUUCACAAAUGCCUGAGUGGUCAAUAAACAUAUGAAAAGGUAGUUCGAACUUUUAGUCACCAGGAACUACAAAUUAAACCCACAAUGUGAUAUCACUACACACUCAUGAGAAUGUCUGAGAUGAAAAAGACACCACCAGGUGUUGGCAACAGUGUGGAACUGGAGCUCUCAGGCAGUACCAGUGGAAGAGUACAUUGGUAAACUCUUUGAAGAGCCUUCGGAACUUUGGAAGGCUGUCUGGCAGUAUCUCCUAAAUCUCAAUAUACCCACCACCAUGACCCAGCAACCCUACCCUACUCUUAGGUAUAUACAGUCGAGGCUCACUAUUCGCAGAUUCCUUUCUGACAAGCUUCCCUACUCAUUACAAUUUACUUGUAACCUCCAAAUCAAUAGUCGCAGUGCUUUUGUGGUCAUUCGUGGAUAUGCACGCAGAGUGGCAGAAUUUUGGUCACCCACACACAGGCUCCCAGCUGAGGUUCAACACAGCCAUCCUCUGCCUUCCCGUGUCAGCUCUCCUAACUGUAAACAUGUCCUUUUCAGUCCAUUUAGUGCCAAGCUGUUCAUGUUUUCAUGGUUUUUAGUGGUGAUUUCUCUAUUUAAGUGGCUCCCACGCAUAAUGCUGAAGGGCUGUCGAGUGUCUCUAAGCACAGGAAAGUUGUGAUGUGUCUUCAGGAGAAAUAACGUCUGGCCUACAAAUUUCAUUCAGGUAUGAGUUAUGCUGCCUUUGGCUGUGAGUUCGAUACUAAUAAACCCACAAUAUAUGUUAAAUAAGGUGUUGUUAAACAGAAACACAUAUAAAACAAGGCUGCUAUUGUUUGGUCCAUAAAUAUGUUGGGACCAGAGGCUUGCAAGAAUCUAACCCUGCGACGAUUCAGUACUCGCUAAUUCAGUGUCCGCCGGGUCUUUACAGAGCAUCACUGCUGUGAGUAAAGAGAACCUACAGAAUGUGUACACCCUCACACCCACCGCAGACGUGCAGAGUGUCUCUGUCAGCGCUGUUUGUGUCGGCCACAAACCACCAAUGCAGAUGCCUAGACCAGACGCGUCGGUGCAUUCACAGUGGGACGCCAUAAAGAGAUGAAAACGUGAUCUCUCCCAGAACAAUGAUGUGGAGGCAUCUUACAAACAGUAUGCUGAGUGGAAGAAACCGGGCACCAAAAGCUACAUACUUAGUGACUUCACUGAGCACAGUCUUGCUCCUGUCAACUGUGCUUUCCCACCUGGUUCAGCAUUCCAGGAGGAGUGGGAAGGAGCCUGCAGCCUCGUCGGGGACUCCAGACAGCAGACAAUGAGAAGGGCCCUCCCUCAGUGCCCCACCCCAAGUGUUAGUCUCGAAGAGCCUCAGGUUGGUGCCAAUCUGCCUCAGGCCCUCGCAGCUCCUGAAGUAAUUCUGUCUUCACGCCUUUACUCUUCCCACUCCAGUCUGUCUUCCAUGUUAUAGCCAGAAGUUCUGUCCCUCGCACAAAUCCAAUCAUGUCUCAUUCCUGGCUCUAAAACCUCUUUAAACAACAACAAAAACCCAAACAACCCAAUUUAAAAAUGGACAAAGGACUUAACUAGACAUUUCUCUCCAAAGAUGUACAAAUGACCUGUAAACGCAUGAAAAGAUGCUCCACAGCACUAACCCUUAAUGAAAUGCAAACCAAAGCCACCACGAGAGAUCGCCUCACCCCCAUGGGAUGGGCCAGAAUCAAAAGUGAGUAAUCACAAGUGUUAGUGAGGUUGUGGAGAAAGUGGAACCCUUGUGCACCGCUGGUGAGAGUGGGAAAUGGGGCAGCCACUGUGGAAAACAGUAAGGAAGUUCCUCAAAAACUGAAAUACAUGACUGGCUCCCGGUGCAGCUCGCGUACUCAUUGGGCGUGGGCCUGCUGCGUCUUUUGUGAAGGAGAUUCCCGGGCGAGCCCACGAAAAGACCAAGGAAGGAAUCCAGACUGAGCACAAUGAUCAUGUUCAUGUGAAGGUGGCAGGCAGGAUGGUCCUGGGGUGCAGGGUAAGAUUGAGAGGCAUACACCACUUAGUAAACUAACGAACGCCUAUUGCGAAGGACAGGGUUUGUGGGUGAGGCAGGUGAGAGUCCAAUUUGAGGGGCAGCCAAUCGGUGAAACACAUGCGUGCACAGUAGGAAAGGGAGGGUGGGGACACAGCUGCUGCGUUCCAGCAGCAGACUCAAGGCGCCCGCUAGACGGGGAACCUGCCCCCUUUACUCCCGGGCCCGGUCCCUCCAGACCAAGAGGACAGUCUCAAUUAGAAAACCGCCACUUGGUGCCACAAUGCCCUGACUUCUACAGUUUUCUCUACUCUUGCAUUUCCCCUUCCCCAUUCGUUUAUUGUGCAUAAAGUAACUGAUGUAUGUGCACAGCAUUUGCACUUUUUAAGCUAAGUGGCCAAUGGAUGGGAGGGGGGGAAGUACUGGUUCUGUGAAAAUACCCCCUUUCUCCGUUAGUAGAAACUCAUUUGGCUCUUAUCUUUAUAUUCCAGUAAGUUAUUUUGCUCUCACUGUUUAACAAAAAAAGAACAGCAUAAAGAUCCUUGCAAACCUUGUUUGAUUG
Non-coding RNA from Miniopterus natalensis, 3235 nucleotides. NCBI's taxonomy places the organism in Eukaryota, Metazoa, Chordata, Mammalia, Chiroptera, Miniopteridae. The record is from RefSeq and is a predicted model, not a curated record.